GAUGAACGCUGGCGGCGUGCCUAAUACAUGCAAGUCGAGCGAACGGACGAGAAGCUUGCUUCUCUGAUGUUAGCGGCGGACGGGUGAGUAACACGUGGAUAACCUACCUAUAAGACUGGGAUAACUUCGGGAAACCGGAGCUAAUACCGGAUGAUAUUUUGAACCGCAUGGUUCAAAAGUGAAAGACGGUCUUGCUGUCACUUAUAGAUGGAUCCGCGCUGCAUUAGCUAGUUGGUAAGGUAACGGCUUACCAAGGCAACGAUGCAUAGCCGACCUGAGAGGGUGAUCGGCCAAACUGGAACUGAGACACGGUCCCGACUCCUACGGGAGGCAGCAGUAGGGAAUCUUACGCAAUGGGCGAAAGCCUGACGGAGCAACGCCGCGUGAGUGAUGAAGGUCUUCGGAUCGUAAAACUCUGUUAUUAGGGAAGAACAUAUGUGUAAGUAACUGUGCACAUCUUGACGGUACCUAAUCAGAAAGCCACGGCUAACUACGUG
RNAcentral lists this ribosomal RNA (497 nucleotides) under uncultured bacterium. RNAcentral describes it as "partial 16S ribosomal RNA". It matches the Rfam family "Bacterial small subunit ribosomal RNA", at positions 28 to 507 of the family's 1533-position model. The record is from RNAcentral.